UAUUACGUUCUCUUUUUAUUUUUUCAAUUUUCAUGAAUUUAUUUAAGUUUUUUGUUAAAUUUCUCUUUUGUAUUUUUACUUAUAUUUAAAUUUAAUUUAAUAAAUAUUUUUAUUGAAUUCCUUCUUUGCAUUACAACUAUCUUAUUAUCUUGAUAAAUUGGUAAUUCUAGUAAUAAUUUUUUUUUUCCAAUAAGUAGAUCUUUAGAGAAUUCCAAUCUGACAAGUAACACAUAAUUAAUAUACGUGUUAUGUUAUAUUUCAAUUUUUCGCGCGAUUUUUGAAUGAAAAAAAUAAGCAUCAUGAGCCAGCCAAUCAGAACGUCGCUUUAUUCAAGUAGUCGCGGGACUCAUUGCGCAUCGUAGUGCGCAUUACACUGCGCAUUACACUGCGCAUGUCGUCAGUCUACAGUUGAAAAUUGUGUGGAGUGGACGUGUCGUCGCGAAUUGUGAUUAUCGCAGUUUAAUUGGUAGCGUUAUGGUAAUAUUCUCGAAGGCGGGAAAAAUUCCAAUAUGGACGCCAUUGGUGACUUUUUUUCGUGGUAAAAUUUUACAUUUCUUUGUUUCAGAAAUCUCCUUCAGCUUUCAACAAUGGAUUAUGUGGAAUGGAUUACAUCUUAUCAUCAGAUAAAUAUUCUAAUUUUUUAUAUUAGUUUGUUUCAGGAUUUCUUACAGGAACAGAAGAUUGUAUAAUUGAUUAAAAAAAAGUGUAUUUAAAAUUAAGUGCAUGCAGAAUCAAGGGUAUUAAAUAAAGUUAUGUAUUGUAGAAAAGUAGAUACUGUAGAUAAAUAGGUGGAUAACAUACAUUUAGGAAAGGAGAAUUUAUUUACGAAUAAAAUAAUUUGGGAAAUUUAUAAA
Molecule: long non-coding RNA, 854 nt
Organism: Apis cerana (Asiatic honeybee)
Lineage: Eukaryota; Metazoa; Arthropoda; Insecta; Hymenoptera; Apidae
Source: RefSeq, a predicted model, not a curated record